Molecule: long non-coding RNA, 339 nt
Organism: Magnolia sinica
Lineage: Eukaryota; Viridiplantae; Streptophyta; Magnoliopsida; Magnoliales; Magnoliaceae
Exons: 3
Source: RefSeq, a predicted model, not a curated record
CUUUCCGUCUAUCCCUCUCCCAGCACCAGCCCUAGAGAUCUCUCCCACCUCUCUCUUCCUGUCGAUCUCUUCACGAACAUUAGGUGGUGCUGGUAUCUGGUGAGACUGGUUGCAGGAAAAUAACUCAGAGAUGGCUUCCAUGACACCAUGCAAGAAUUGGAUGAGGGCAGGAAGGUUAACUGUUGAAUACAUGGAAGGUGUUGCAACAUUUCUAAAGUACGUGAAAUAAAAUUCAAAUGGAUAAGACUGGCAUAGCUGUCCUUGUGCCAAGUGUUGUAAUAUACGUGGGAAGAUGACAUUAGAAACCAUUUCCGAGCACUUGGUUUUUAAUGGCAUAGA